UACGUAGGGACCAAGCGUUGUUCGGAAUUACUGGGCGUAAAGGGCUCGUAGGUGGCCAACUAAGUCGGACGUGAAAUCCCUCAGCUUAACUGGGGAACUGCGUCCGAUACUGGAUGGCUCGAGUUUGGGAGAGGGAUGCGGAAUUCCAGGUGUAGCGGUGAAAUGCGUAGAUAUCUGGAGGAACACCGGUGGCGAAGGCGGCAUCCUGGACCAACACUGACACUGAGGAGCGAAAGCCAGGGGAGCAAACGGG
Molecule: ribosomal RNA, 253 nt
Filed under: uncultured bacterium
Lineage: Bacteria
Description: partial 16S ribosomal RNA
Rfam family: Bacterial small subunit ribosomal RNA
Source: RNAcentral